RNAcentral lists this ribosomal RNA (406 nucleotides) under uncultured bacterium. RNAcentral's name for it is "partial 16S ribosomal RNA". It matches the Rfam family "Bacterial small subunit ribosomal RNA", at positions 29 to 526 of the family's 1533-position model. The record is from RNAcentral.
AUUGAACGCUGGCAGCAGGCCUAACACAUGCAAGUCGAGCGAGCGGAGGACGGGUGAGUAAUGUCUGGGAAACUGCCUGAUGGAGGGGGAUAACUACUGGAAAAGGUAGCUAAUACCGCAUACCAUCAGAUGUGCCCAGAUGGGAUUAGCUAGUAGGUGGGGUAACGGCUCACCUAGGCGACGAUCCCUAGCUGGUCUGAGAGGAUUACCCGCCACAGUGGAACUAAGACACGGUCCAGACCCCAACGCGAGGCGGCGGUGGGGAAUAGUGCACAAUGGGCGAAAGCCGGAUGCAGCCAUGCCGUGUGAGUGAAGAAGGCCUUCGGGUUGUAAAGCACUGUCAGCGGGGAGGCGUUACCCGGAGAAGAAGCACCGGCUAACUCCGUGCCAGCAGCCGCUGUAAUAC